AAAGGGAGACCUAAUUCAGGUAGGAGACGAAAAAAAAGUAGUCGCUACCAAGAAUCAAUCCCAAAAGGUCGGAGCGAGGCGAAAUUGGCUUUCAAACUAGGUUCUGGGUUCACACAAGACCUGAAUCAGGAACAAGGGCUAUUAGCUCAGGUGGUUAGAGCGCACCCCUGAUAAGGGUGAGGUCCCUGGUUCGAGUCCAGGAUGGCCCACCUGCACAGGUGGCAAAAACAAAAAAGCUCCGAAUCAGCACCUUAUCUUACUUAUAUAGUAAGAGAGAAUGCUGGCUCUGAGUUCAGAGUCCAGAGGAACCUUGAAAACUGCAUAGAGCUAGGUGAAAAAGCCAAAAAAGAAGACCGUCAG
This 360-nucleotide transfer RNA is filed under the name uncultured Microcystis sp. RNAcentral describes it as "partial 16S-23S ribosomal RNA intergenic spacer". The stretch from base 136 to 209 matches the Rfam family "tRNA". Lineage: Bacteria; Bacillati; Cyanobacteriota; Cyanophyceae; Chroococcales; Microcystaceae. The record is from RNAcentral.